GAUGAACGCUGGCGGCGUGCCUAAUACAUGCAAGUCGAGCGAACAGACGAGGAGCUUGCUCCUCGGACGUUAGCGGCGGACGGGUGAGUAACACGUGGAUAACCUACCUAUAAGACUGGGAUAACUUCGGGAAACCGGAGCUAACACCGUAUAAUAUAUUGAACCGCAGGGUUCAAUAGUGAAAGUUGGCUUUGCUGUCUGGUAUAGAUGGAUCCGCGCCGCAUUAGGUAGUUGGGAAGGUAACGGCUUACCAAGGCGACGAUGCGUAGCCGACCUGAGAGGGUGGUCGGCGACACUGGAGCUGGGACACCGACCAUACUCCUACGGGAGGCACCAGUAGGCAAUCUUCCGCAAUGGGGGAGAGCCUGACGGAGCGACGCCGCGUGAGUGAUGACGGUCUUCGGUUCGUAAAACUCUGUUAUUAGGGAAAAACAACUUUGUACGUAGCUAAGCACGUCUUGACGGUACCUGGUCAAGAAGCCCCGGCUAACUACGUG
Molecule: ribosomal RNA, 497 nt
Filed under: uncultured bacterium
Lineage: Bacteria
Description: partial 16S ribosomal RNA
Rfam family: Bacterial small subunit ribosomal RNA
Source: RNAcentral